RNAcentral lists this long non-coding RNA (501 nucleotides) under Trifolium pratense (red clover). Its description in RNAcentral is "long non-coding RNA (TPRA_LNC011431)". The record is from RNAcentral. Lineage: Eukaryota; Viridiplantae; Streptophyta; Magnoliopsida; Fabales; Fabaceae.
UUGCUAGUGAUAAGGAAAUGCUACAACGUAAGCUGGCGUCCAUUCGAACUCAGUAUUACCAAUUUCAAGCGGCCAAUCGAAAGCCUCCUUCAACAUCCCAACAACAACCUUGACUUUAUAAAUUUUCCUUUUAGUCUCAAGUUUUUUUUCUUUUUGGAUGUCGUAAUUGUAAAUCUUUUAACACUAGCAACUGUCAAACAAUUUCGUACAUGCCUUUUGAAUGCAUGCCCGUUUUGGCUUUUUAAUGCUGCAUGUUCAUAUAUUGGCUGAGUAUUUUAUUCCUUUGUUGUUGUUUGCUUUCCUUCUUUUGGGCUACUCUCCCAAGCCUUAUUAAUGGCACUUUGUAAGGAAUGAAGCGAACAUGUUUCCAAAGCAGUCAACAUAAUUAACUAUAUGGCUUUGAGCAUUAAUGCAAUGGCAUUUCCUAUGCAAACCGACCGUGGUUAGUUGUAACUGCCUAGCUAUUAACGCGUAUUAAUCCUUCUAUAAAUACCCACGCCU